RNAcentral lists this ribosomal RNA (254 nucleotides) under uncultured bacterium. Its description in RNAcentral is "partial 16S ribosomal RNA". It matches the Rfam family "Bacterial small subunit ribosomal RNA", at positions 524 to 776 of the family's 1533-position model. The record is from RNAcentral.
UACGUAGGGAGCGAGCGUUGUCCGGAAUCAUUGGGCGUAAAGAGCUCGUAGGCGGCUUGGUAAGUCGGAUGUGAAACCUCCAGGCUCAACCUGGAGUCGCCAUCCGAUACUGCCAUGGCUAGAGUCCGGUAGGGGCCCACGGAACUCCUGGUGCAGCGGUGAAAUGCGCAGAUAUCAGGAAGAACACCGGUGGCGAAGGCGGUGGGCUGGGCCGGCACUGACGCUGAGGAGCGAAAGCGUGGGGAGCGAACAGG